RNAcentral lists this ribosomal RNA (411 nucleotides) under uncultured eukaryote. RNAcentral describes it as "SSU rRNA". It matches the Rfam family "Eukaryotic small subunit ribosomal RNA", at positions 567 to 990 of the family's 1831-position model. The record is from RNAcentral.
CCAGCAGCUGCGGUAAUUCCAGCUCCAAUAGCGUAGAUUAAAGUUGUUGCAGUUAAAAAGCUCGUAGUUGGAUUUCUGGCAGGGCGCCGAUGCCCGCUUGUUGCGUGUGCAGAGCGCCCUACCAUCCUUCUGUUAACUCUAAUAGGCAUUGAUUUGUCUGUAGAGGGCUCAGAUAUUUUACCUUGAGAAAAUUAGAGUGUUUCAGGCAGGCUUGCGCCGGAAUACAUUAGCAUGGAAUAAUGGAAUAGGACUACGGUCUCUUUGUUGGUUUGAGGGACUGCAGUAAUGAGCAAUAGGGAUAGUUGGGGGCAUUAGUAUUUAAUUGUCAGAGGUGAAAUUCUCGGAUUUGUUAAAGACUAACUUAUGCGAAAGCAUUUGCCAAGGAUGUCUUCAUCAAUCAAGAACGAAAGU